AAUAUUGGACAAUGGGCGAAAGCCUGCUCCAGCCAUGCCGCGUGUGUGAAGAAGGUCUUCGGAUUGUUACGCACUUUCAGUUGGGAGGACGCGUUGUCGGUUCAUACCCUGCAAUUUGGACGUUACCAAUAGAAUAAGCACCGGUUAACUUCGUGCUAGCAGCCGCGGUAAUACGAAGGGUGCAAGAGUUAAUCGGAAUUACUGGGAGUAAAGCGCGCGUAGGUGGUUCGUUAAGUUGGAAGUGAAAGCCCCGAGCUUAACCUGGGAAUUGCUUUCAAAACUGACGAGCUAGAGUACGGUAGAGGGUAGUGGAAAUUCCUGUGUAGCGGUGAAAUGCGUAGAUAUAGGAAGGAACAUCAGUGGCGAAGGCAACUACCUGGACUGAUACUGACACUGAGGUGCGAAAGCGUGGGGAGCAAACAGG
RNAcentral lists this ribosomal RNA (424 nucleotides) under uncultured bacterium. Its description in RNAcentral is "partial 16S ribosomal RNA". It matches the Rfam family "Bacterial small subunit ribosomal RNA", at positions 360 to 776 of the family's 1533-position model. The record is from RNAcentral.